Molecule: transfer RNA, 75 nt
Filed under: Micromonospora sp. A202
Lineage: Bacteria; Bacillati; Actinomycetota; Actinomycetes; Micromonosporales; Micromonosporaceae
Description: tRNA-Val
Source: RNAcentral
GGGUGGCCCAGUAUUGCUGUGGAGAGCGCUUCGUUCACACCGAAGAGGUCGCUGGUUCGAUACCAGCAUCGCCCA